GUGGCGGGGGUGAUGAUCGCCGUGGCGUUCGGCGUUCGGGCGAAUUUCGACCCGGAUGUUGAAGGCAUGCCGCGGAGGAAAGUCCGGACUCCGCAGGGUACGGUGGUGGGUAACGCCCACCGCCCGGGCUUCGGUUCGGGUAGGGAAAGUGCCACAGAGAAUAGACCGCCUCGGAGGAAUCGUCGUGCGGCUUGCCGUGCGAUGGCUUCUUCGCGGUAAGGGUGAAACGGCGAGGUAAGAGCUCACCAGCAGGCCGGGCGACCGGCCUGGCUCGGUAAACCCCACCGGGAGCAAGACCAAAUAGGGAAGGAAGGGGGGCAAUCCCUCGGGAUUCGCCGCUCGCGGAUCGGCCCGAUCCGUCAAAACCACUUCCGGGUAGGUCGCUUGAGGCGAUGGGCAACCAUCGUCCCAGAGAAAUGAUCAUCCCGGGCCGGGACGAAAAUGGAUGACCCGGCUCGGACAGAAUCCGGCUUAUACCCCCGCGACGAUC
RNAcentral lists this RNase P RNA (490 nucleotides) under Planctomycetes bacterium SCN 63-9. RNAcentral's name for it is "RNase P RNA component class A". It matches the Rfam family "Bacterial RNase P class A". From Rfam's summary of the family: Ribonuclease P (RNase P) is a ubiquitous endoribonuclease, found in archaea, bacteria and eukarya as well as chloroplasts and mitochondria. Its best characterised activity is the generation of mature 5'-ends of tRNAs by cleaving the 5'-leader elements of precursor-tRNAs. Lineage: Bacteria; Pseudomonadati; Planctomycetota. The record is from RNAcentral.